UAGAAAUUCCUAGUGUGUCUGACAGAA
Molecule: non-coding RNA, 27 nt
Filed under: Mus musculus (house mouse)
Lineage: Eukaryota; Metazoa; Chordata; Mammalia; Rodentia; Muridae
Source: RNAcentral